This 468-nucleotide ribosomal RNA is filed under the name uncultured bacterium. RNAcentral's name for it is "partial 16S ribosomal RNA". It matches the Rfam family "Bacterial small subunit ribosomal RNA", at positions 28 to 507 of the family's 1533-position model. The record is from RNAcentral.
GACGAACGCUGGCGGCGUGCUUAACACAUGCGAGUCGAACGGAAAGGCCUUGCUUUUGUGGGGUGCUCGAGUGGCGAACGGGUGAGUAACACGUGAGUAAUCUGACCUUGACUUUGGGAUAACUUCAGGAAAUUGGGGCUAAUACCGGAUAGGAGCUCCUGCUGCAUGGUGGGGGUUGGAAAGUUUCGGCGGUUGGGGAUGGACUCGCGGCUUAUCAGCUUGUUGGUGGGGUAGUGGUUUACCAAGGCUUUGACGGGUAGCCGGCCUGAGAGGGUGACCGGCCACAUUGGGACUGAGAUACGGCCCAGACUCCUACGGGAGGCAGCAGUGGGGAAUAUUGCACAAUGGGCGGAAGCCUGAUGCAGCAACACCGCGUGCGGGAUAACGGCCUUCGGGUUGUAAGCCGCUUUCGCCUGUGACGAAGCGUGAAUGACAGUAAUGGGUAAAGAAGCACCGGCUAACUACGUG